UUUUUCAAUCAUAUUUCGUUGUAUAAAAGCCCCAAAAAGUAUACAUAUAAACACACACAAAGACCACCCAGUGUACAUAUAUCCUAUUUUAUAUCUUUUCCCUUUUCUUUAUUUAUUCAACCAGGCGCAGGCCAUGUCUAUGUCUACGCAGGUAUGCCCCGUUUAUACGCAUCAUUGUAUCCACAUAAAACCAAAAAAAGGAGCCGGGGGGCGGAGAGGGGAAUGCCAGACUGGACUGAGUUAGGAAGGGUGAGGUGCUUUGUAAAAAUGAAAUGCACUCGAUGAUCCGGGCGGGUGACGAAAGGUUCCGCAAGAGAAUCGAGCUGGCUUUUGCUAUGUUAUUUUUUUUUCUAUCGUAUAGGUGUAUAGAAGGCAUAUCUAUCUACAUUUGCUGCACAUGCAGCUUUAUUUGAGUACAUAGUACAUAGCUAGGGUUGAGGAAUAUUUUUUUUUUCCUCUACUAAAACUUUGGACAGAUUUUUUUUUUUUUUUUAGUUCUUUCUGAUACAGUGAGGGCUGCGGGAUGCCUUUUAUCGCUCCAAUCUGUCCCUAUUGCCUAUUUAUUACUUCUGCUGAUCAAAGAUGGGCCAUCGAAUGGGAAGCAUGGUAAAAUAAAACCAAGUUAAAUAACUAACUCCUCUCUAUACUCCGUAAUCUAACAACAAAAAUCGAUAUAUAUAAAGAAAUAUUUGGGAAGGGAAAUAGCAAUUGUCUUGAAAAAAAAAAAAAAGAGCUCUAUAUUAUUACAUAGAUGCUAGUUACAUCUACUUAUUUCAUAUCCUAAGGCUUGAUCGUUCCGUACUCAUACAACACACAACAGGUACAGGGACGGGGACAGAUACAGCACUUAUAAAUUCUGAUCAUGAA
RNAcentral lists this small RNA (867 nucleotides) under Histoplasma capsulatum. RNAcentral describes it as "hypothetical RNA". Lineage: Eukaryota; Fungi; Ascomycota; Eurotiomycetes; Onygenales; Ajellomycetaceae. The record is from RNAcentral.